Molecule: ribosomal RNA, 1132 nt
Filed under: Escherichia coli
Lineage: Bacteria; Pseudomonadati; Pseudomonadota; Gammaproteobacteria; Enterobacterales; Enterobacteriaceae
Description: partial 23S ribosomal RNA
Rfam family: Bacterial large subunit ribosomal RNA
Source: RNAcentral
CGAGGGGAGUGAAAAAGAACCUGAAACCGUGUACGUACAAGCAGUGGGAGCACGCUUAGGCGUGUGACUGCGUACCUUUUGUAUAAUGGGUCAGCGACUUAUAUUCUGUAGCAAGGUUAACCGAAUAGGGGAGCCGAAGGGAAACCGAGUCUUAACUGGGCGUUAAGUUGCAGGGUAUAGACCCGAAACCCGGUGAUCUAGCCAUGGGCAGGUUGAAGGUUGGGUAACACUAACUGGAGGACCGAACCGACUAAUGUUGAAAAAUUAGCGGAUGACUUGUGGCUGGGGGUGAAAGGCCAAUCAAACCGGGAGAUAGCUGGUUCUCCCCGAAAGCUAUUUAGGUAGCGCCUCGUGAAUUCAUCUCCGGGGGUAGAGCACUGUUUCGGCAAGGGGGUCAUCCCGACUUACCAACCCGAUGCAAACUGCGAAUACCGGAGAAUGUUAUCACGGGAGACACACGGCGGGUGCUAACGUCCGUCGUGAAGAGGGAAACAACCCAGACCGCCAGCUAAGGUCCCAAAGUCAUGGUUAAGUGGGAAACGAUGUGGGAAGGCCCAGACAGCCAGGAUGUUGGCUUAGAAGCAGCCAUCAUUUAAAGAAAGCGUAAUAGCUCACUGGUCGAGUCGGCCUGCGCGGAAGAUGUAACGGGGCUAAACCAUGCACCGAAGCUGCGGCAGCGACGCUGAUGCGUUGUUGGGUAGGGGAGCGUUCUGUAAGCCUGCGAAGGUGUGCUGUGAGGCAUGCUGGAGGUAUCAGAAGUGCGAAUGCUGACAUAAGUAACGAUAAAGCGGGUGAAAAGCCCGCUCGCCGGAAGACCAAGGGUUCCUGUCCAACGUUAAUCGGGGCAGGGUGAGUCGACCCCUAAGGCGAGGCCGAAAGGCGUAGUCGAUGGGAAACAGGUUAAUAUUCCUGUACUUGGUGUUACUGCGAAGGGGGGACGGAGAAGGCUAUGUUGGCCGGGCGACGGUUGUCCCGGUUUAAGCGUGUAGGCUGGUUUUCCAGGCAAAUCCGGAAAAUCAAGGCUGAGGCGUGAUGACGAGGCACUGCGGUGCUGAAGCAACAAAUGCCCUGCUUCCAGGAAAAGCCUCUAAGCAUCAGGUAACAUCAAAUCGUACCCCAAACCGACACAGGU